RNAcentral lists this ribosomal RNA (329 nucleotides) under uncultured bacterium. RNAcentral's name for it is "bacterial SSU rRNA". It matches the Rfam family "Bacterial small subunit ribosomal RNA", at positions 32 to 342 of the family's 1533-position model. The record is from RNAcentral.
AAUCAACGCUGGCGGCGUGCCUCAGACAUGCAAGUCGAACGAGAACCUCCCUUCGGGGAGGGGACAGUGGCGCACGGGUGAGUAACACGUGAGUAAUUUACCUUUGGGUGGGGAACAACAGCCGGAAACGGCUGCUAAUACCGCAUAACGCAGCGGCUCGACAUCGAGACAGUUGUUAAAGCGGGGGAGUCGCAAGACCUCGCGCCUGAAGAGAAGCCUGCGGCGGAUUAGCAGUUGGUAGGGUAAUGGCCUACCAAGGCGACGAUCUGUAACCGGCCUGAGGAGGGCGGUCGGUCACACUGACACUGACAUACGGGUCAGACUCCUAC